Molecule: long non-coding RNA, 458 nt
Organism: Sander lucioperca (pikeperch)
Lineage: Eukaryota; Metazoa; Chordata; Actinopteri; Perciformes; Percidae
Exons: 2
Source: RefSeq, a predicted model, not a curated record
UGUUCCUCACCCUUCUUCCUCCAAACCCUUGGCCCUUGAUUCCCGAAUGAAAGGCACACUUUACUUUCAUCGGAAAAGAGGACCUUGGACCACUGGCCAACAGUCCAGUCCUUCUUCUCCUUGGCCCAGUUGAGACGCUUCCUACGUUGGCUCAGGCUCAGAAGCGGUUUGACCCGAGGAACCCGACAGUUGUAGCCCAUCUCCCGGAUUAGUGUGUGACACUCAGUUUAAAACAUUCAUGCCCUGUAAAAUUUGGGCUGAUUUCUUCACAGUAUUCUAAUUUUUUGAAAUCCUGUUUUUGUGGGUUUUAUGAGCUGGAAGCCCAAAUUAUGUACAAAUAAACAACUAAAUACUUGAAAUCGUUUAAGUUGUGGGCCCUGAAUCUAUAAUCUAUGGAAGUUUAACGUUUUGAAUGGAAUUAUGGAAAUAAAUAAACUUUUCCAUGAUAUUCUAAUUUU